RNAcentral lists this ribosomal RNA (554 nucleotides) under uncultured bacterium. RNAcentral's name for it is "partial 16S ribosomal RNA". It matches the Rfam family "Bacterial small subunit ribosomal RNA", at positions 355 to 900 of the family's 1533-position model. The record is from RNAcentral.
UAGGGAAUCUUCCACAAUGGACGCAAGUCUGAUGGAGCAACGCCGCGUGAGUGAAGAAGGUUUUCGGACCGUAAAGCUCUGUUGUUGGUGAAGAAGGAUAGAGGUAGUAACUGGCCUUUAUUUGACGGUAAUCAACCAGAAAGUCACGGCUAACUACGUGCCAGCAGCCGCGGUAAUACGUAGGUGGCAAGCGUUGUCCGGAUUUAUUGGGCGUAAAGCGAGCGCAGGCGGAAGAAUAAGUCUGAUGUGAAAGCCCCCGGCUUAACCGAGGAAUUGCAUCGGAAACUGUUUUCUUGAGUGCAGAAGAGGAGAGUAGAACUCCAUGUGUAGCGGUGGAAUGCGUAGAUAUAUGGAAGAAUACCAGUGGCGAAGGCGGCUCUCUGGUCUGCAACUGACGCUGAGGCUCGAAAGCAUGGGUAGCGAACAGGAUUAGAUACCCUGGUAGUCCAUGCCGUAAACGAUGAGUGCUAAGUGUUGGGAGGCUUCCGCCUCUCAGUGCUGCAGCUAACGCAUUAAGCACUCCGCCUGGGGGAGUACGACCGCAAGGUUGAAAC